RNAcentral lists this ribosomal RNA (464 nucleotides) under uncultured bacterium. Its description in RNAcentral is "partial 16S ribosomal RNA". It matches the Rfam family "Bacterial small subunit ribosomal RNA", at positions 28 to 507 of the family's 1533-position model. The record is from RNAcentral.
GACGAACGCUGGCGGCGUGCUUAACACAUGCAAGUCGAACGGUAAGGCCCUUUCGGGGGUACACGAGUGGCGAACGGGUGAGUAACACGUGGGUGAUCUGCCCUGCACUUUGGGAUAAGCCUGGGAAACUGGGUCUAAUACCGGAUAGGACUACGCGAUGCAUGUCGUGUGGUGGAAAGCUUUUGCGGUGUGGGAUGGGCCCGCGGCCUAUCAGCUUGUUGGUGGGGUGAUGGCCUACCAAGGCGACGACGGGUAGCCGGCCUGAGAGGGUGUCCGGCCACACUGGGACUGGGAUACGGCCCAGACUCCUACGGGAGGCAGCAGUGGGGAAUAUUGCACAAUGGGCGCAAGCCUGAUGCAGCGACGCCGCGUGGGGGAUGACGGCCUUCGGGUUGUAAACCCCUUUCAGCACAGACGAAGCGUAAGUGACGGUAUGUGCAGAAGAAGCACCGGCCAACUACGUG